UACAACAGCAUUUUUUUAUGUUCAUUUACACAUUUCUCAUUUAAUAAAUUGUCUUUAUAUUGCCUCCAUCAGUGGUGGAUAAUUCCAAACUGAAUGGGACUAGGAGUAGCCUGUGGGGUGCGCCAGAGGAGCUGGAGCGCUCUCUGAGCAGUCAACGUAGCACUCUACUGGACCAGUAUCCCAGCAUGGUCAGCCAGGUAGGAGAGGCCUGGCGGCGCCAACAUAUGUCCGACGUGGCUGUAGGGGUUUUGAGGAGGUACCACAGGCUCAGGUGGUUCUCUAACAGAAACCUCAAUAACCGCAGCUUCAACAUCAGACCUGCUCACAGAAAGACUACCCUCAACAAUGGCCAAUCCUUUCUCCAAACACCUCAGAACACCAUACUGAAUGUGAGUAACCCCAAGAGUCCAAAGUUGAACCUCAAAAUGACAACAACCCACACCCAUCUUCCUCCACAGACCAAGGUCAACCUCCAGGAAUGGCCAGCAGAGAGGCUGUCCCACAGGAAGGGUACAGAUUCAGGGAACGGACAACCGUCCCACCCUGUUCUAGUGAUGGACUUCUCCUCUGCAGGCUCCAGUCCUGCCUCCUCCCCUCCCUCUGCAGCCCCUCCCUUCUUUCUGCUCCCUCCUUUGCAGACUCCUCUCCUCCCUCCUCUGCAGCCUCCCUUCCCUCUUCUCUCUCCUCUGCAGACUCCUCUCUACAGGAGAGCCCUGAGCCGGAGGAGCCCCCCUUAAACCAAACCUUCAUGGUGUCCAUGCCGUCUUCCCCAUCCCCCAGGGUUAGACAUACUACCCUGGACUUCAGUCCUGCCAGAUCUGAAGACACCUUCACAGCAGGAGGGUUGAGCAGUCCAUCUCUUAGGAAGUGUGCCCUACCCACAUUUCCCCAUCAGAGGUUUUUCACAGCGGUAUGCCCUGUGGUCUGUAUGGAGAUGUCUUCAGACUACCGCUCCCCAGUAGCACAGAGCCCCUACAGAGCCAGACUGCUGAUCUGGGACGGCCAGCGUGCAGCAUCUAACGCCCACCAUAGAAGCCCCAAGUCAGACUUUGCUGGAUAUCAUCAAAGAAACACUGUGGAGCCCAGAUCUUCCCCUGAGUCUUCACCCUCCUCUAUUCAUAGGCCUCUGAUGCCAGCCAGGAAGCCCCACCACCUGGACUCCUGUAGUCGCUCCCAGCUGAAACUCCAAUCGUCUAGAUCAUCAUCUGAUCAUGAGUCUGGGGCAGGCCAGCCAAGGCUCCGGCGACACUAUUCCCUGGAUUCCUUCUCCCCAUCUGUCAGUCUCUUACAAAACUCUGAUAAGCAGAUUGACAAGGACUUCCAGAAGCUCUACCACAAGCUUGUCUGUCAGGGCAAAUCCUCCUCCUCCUGCUGUACCUGUGAGAGGAGAGCAGAGACCACCAGAGGAACCUCCUCUUCUGCUCUGGCUGCCCUGGCCCUGUCUCCUCACCACUCUGUCAUGAGGAAGCGUCGCAGGGAGCUGGUCCAAGAACAGUCCCCAGAGUCCAAACGUUACAGGGAUAGCUCCUUUGCGUACUCCCCAGGAUCCCUCCGCCAGAGGGUAGAAAUGUUCAGGUGCCAGAACCGCUCAGGCAGCCAUUUGUCCUCCAACCAGUGGGACAUCUCCUGUGACUCCCACAACUGGAGCCCCCGCAGGGCCAGUCUGGCUCAUACCCACCACAGCCCCCACCACCAACAUCACUCAUCAAAUGUAGCAGUCAGGAAAGCUGAAGGCUCCUGGCCUGGCCUGCAUGUUGAUCAGCACUCUCCUGCUUGGGAAAGUCAAUUGUCAAGGCAGAGUGCCAAUGUGGCUGUUUGCCAAGUUUCUCUAGGAGACAACUUCUGUAUAAAUGUCAACCCACAGAAAGGCUGUCCUGUCCUGCACCUCUACCUGAGUUUUUUUAUAUGCCAGAGUUGA
Oncorhynchus kisutch (coho salmon) is the source of this 1918-nucleotide long non-coding RNA. The record is from Ensembl. Lineage: Eukaryota; Metazoa; Chordata; Actinopteri; Salmoniformes; Salmonidae.